GAUGAACGCUGGCGGCGUGCCUAAUACAUGCAAGUCGAGCGAACAGACGAGGAGCUUGCUCCUCUGACGUUAGCGGCGGACGGGUGAGUAACACGUGGAUAACCUACCUAUAAGACUGGGAUAACUUCGGGAAACCGGAGCUAAUACCGGAUAAUAUAUUGAACCGCAUGGUUCAAUAGUGAAAGACGGUUUUGCUGUCACUUAUAGAUGGAUCCGCGCCGCAUUAGCUAGUUGGUAAGGUAACGGCUUACCAAGGCGACGAUGCGUAGCCGACCUGAGAGGGGGGCGGGCCACCGUGGAAGGGGACCACGGCCCAGCCCCCAACGGAAGGAGCAAGUGGGAAAUCUCCCGCAAGGGGGAAAAGCCAGAGGGAGAAACGCGGCGUGAGUAAUGAGGGUCUCGGUUUGAAAAAACUGUUUUAUGAGGAAAAAAAAAAUUUGAAAGUAACUGUGCACUUCUUGAGGGAACCUAAUAAAAAACCCCCGACAAACUAGGUG
RNAcentral lists this ribosomal RNA (497 nucleotides) under uncultured bacterium. Its description in RNAcentral is "partial 16S ribosomal RNA". It matches the Rfam family "Bacterial small subunit ribosomal RNA", at positions 28 to 507 of the family's 1533-position model. The record is from RNAcentral.